UACGUAGGUGACUAGCGUUGUCCGGAUUUACUGGGCGUAAAGAGCGCGCAGGCGGUCGUUCAAGUCGAGUGUGAAAGCCCCCGGCUCAACUGGGGAGGGUCAUUCGAUACUGAUCGACUCGAAGGCAGGAGAGGGAAGCGGAAUUCCCGGUGUAGUGGUGAAAUGCGUAGAUAUCGGAAGGAACAUCAGUGGCGAAAGCGACUUCCUGGACCAAUACUGACGCUCAUGUGCGAAAGCGUGGGGAGCAAACAGG
This 253-nucleotide ribosomal RNA is filed under the name uncultured bacterium. RNAcentral describes it as "partial 16S ribosomal RNA". It matches the Rfam family "Bacterial small subunit ribosomal RNA", at positions 524 to 776 of the family's 1533-position model. The record is from RNAcentral.